RNAcentral lists this ribosomal RNA (456 nucleotides) under Triticum aestivum (bread wheat). Its description in RNAcentral is "partial small subunit ribosomal RNA". The record is from RNAcentral. Lineage: Eukaryota; Viridiplantae; Streptophyta; Magnoliopsida; Poales; Poaceae.
AUGGUUGACUUGCAGCGCUUCUUUUACGACUUGUAUCAUAACCAGGUGGACCUCUCGGGUAUUAACACGGCUUUCAUCACUCUUUUGCCAAAGAAAGAAACUCCUCUUGACAUACUUGACUACCGGCCUAUUUCUAUGGUCCAUAGUGUGCCAAAGCUUGCAAGCAAGGUUCUCACCCGCAGGUUGCAGCGUCAGAUGCCUGAGUUGAUUCACCCGUUACAGUCUAGUUUUGCUCGGGGCAGAGCUAUUGUGGAGAACUUUGCCAUGGCAGCUGAUAUGAUCCAGAGUGCUCAUAAGCGACGCCUACCUAUGAUUGUGCUGAAGUUGGACUUCAGGAAGCUUUCGAUAGUGUCAGUUGGACAUGCAUUUCCAGUAUCAUGGAAGCAUGGGGCUUCCCCCGGAGAUGGAUCGGCUGGGUCUCUUCUCUUCAGCACACCUCCAGCUCUAGAAUCAUGA